UACAGAGGUGGCAAGCGUUGUUCGGAAUUACUGGGCGUAAAGCGCGUGUAGGCGGCCUGCCAAGUCUGCUGUGAAAGCGCCUGGCUUAACCGGGCGAGGUCGGUGGAAACUGGCGGGCUGGAGGACGGUAGAGGGGGGUGGAAUUCCCGGUGUAGUGGUGAAAUGCGUAGAGAUCGGGAGGAACACCAGUGGCGAAGGCGGCCCCCUGGGCCGUUCCUGACGCUGAGACGCGAAGGCGCGGGGAGCGAACGGG
This 253-nucleotide ribosomal RNA is filed under the name uncultured bacterium. Its description in RNAcentral is "partial 16S ribosomal RNA". It matches the Rfam family "Bacterial small subunit ribosomal RNA", at positions 524 to 776 of the family's 1533-position model. The record is from RNAcentral.